AUAAUAUAUUCUUCUCCUUUUAACUUAUCAGUUUAAUGAGCUUUUGCCUUAAUUACAACUCACAUAGUACCUGUCUUGGGACAGUUUGUGUUUGUGCAUUUAUAGUUUGAGGGUUAUGUUUUAAUUAGAAAAAUGGUAGAGCAUUCUUCUUACAUAUGGAAUUGAAGUAGAAUACUUAUGAAGCAUAAUUCUUACACAGUUUCCAAGCAUAGAAAUUAUAUCAAAUUUUAAUUUUGUCUUUUGUCUUUUGUUUGUAUAUAAACAGCAAAAAAUGGAAGCAACUAAUACAAUCAAGAGGUCGCUCUUUCAUAUUUUCUACUGUAGUCCCUGUUGUGGCUGCAUCCCAUGGUACCUCGUAUAGGUUGAUGACAAAGGAACUAGGAGCCUUGAGAUCAGGAGUAUUAAGAGGACGGCCUUCGGGUAUGGAGCUUAAAGGAGCAUAUUUGACAGGCACAGGCUUCACAGGGGGAGGCAAUUGGGGCCUGAAUGGAGAUUGAGGUACAAGGAAGAAGUGGGGUACUGGGGAGAGUGUGGAUGAUGAAGCUGAGGGUGGAGUUCGGACGGACCACAAGAGGAGCUGCAAUCUGAUUUAAAGUAGUCGAGUUUGGCCAAAGGAAGGUACCUUGUGGCUUGCAAAUCCUGAAAGCACUCUUUGGUCUCUGCCUUGUUCUGCCUUGUUCUGCCUUGUUCUCUACUGUCAUGGCUGCUGGUGCCUUCAGGCAAAGAUACAGAGAGCAAAGAGUGCUUUCAGGAUUUGGUUUCUGACUUGCUUUUUUCUCAUUUUUCUAUAGUGGUCUCCCAUUUUUCAGAGUCCGACAACACACCUACUCCAUUUUUUGUUUUCAUUAGUUGUUCCUGAACAUUUACAAAUGAUGCAUUAACUCUUUGGGUUCACUACUAUAUCAUUCUUGAUUUUCCUAA
Molecule: long non-coding RNA, 921 nt
Organism: Humulus lupulus (European hop)
Lineage: Eukaryota; Viridiplantae; Streptophyta; Magnoliopsida; Rosales; Cannabaceae
Exons: 2
Source: RefSeq, a predicted model, not a curated record